UUUACUCAUACGGGAGGCAGCAGUAGGGAAUAUUGGUUAAUGUGCGAAAGCGCGAACCAGCAACGCCGCGUGUGCGAUGAAGGCCUUCGGGUCGUAAAGCACUUUUUGCAGGGAAGAGGAAGGACGGUACCUGCAGAAUAAGUCUCGGCUAACUACGUGCCAGCAGCCGCGGUAAAACGUAGGAGACGAGCGUUAUCCGGAUUUACUGGGCGUAAAGCGCGUGCAGGCGGCAUGGCAAGUUGGAUGUGAAAGCUCCCGGCUUAACUGGGAGAGGUCGUUCAAUACUGCCAGGCUUGAGAGUGGUAGAGGGAAGCGGAAUUCCGGGUGUAGUGGUGAAAUGCGUAGAUAUCCGGAGGAACACCAGUGGCGAAAGCGGCUUCCUGGCCCAUUUCUGACGCUCAGACGCGAAAGCUAGGGUAGCAAACGGGAUUAGAGACCCCGGUAGUCCUAGCCGUAAACGAUGUGAACUUGGCGUUGGCGGGUUUAAAUCCGUCAGUGCCGUAGCUAACGCGAUAAGUUCACCGCCUGGGGACUACGGCCGCAAGGUUAAAACUCAAAGGAAUUGACGG
Molecule: ribosomal RNA, 569 nt
Filed under: uncultured bacterium
Lineage: Bacteria
Description: bacterial SSU rRNA
Rfam family: Bacterial small subunit ribosomal RNA
Source: RNAcentral